This is a long non-coding RNA of Lathyrus oleraceus (garden pea), 1395 nucleotides long. RefSeq lists it as uncharacterized. The transcript has 2 exons. The record is from RefSeq and is a predicted model, not a curated record. Lineage: Eukaryota; Viridiplantae; Streptophyta; Magnoliopsida; Fabales; Fabaceae.
UAGACGUAUAUCUUGAUCUUUUGUCAAGAAUAUAUUUGAACACUUGACAUCGCGGUGUAGAAUGUGAUUUGUAUGCAUCUUGGUGUCAUUGUUCUGCAACUAUGAAAGUUCCAUUAAAAGCCUUUCUCAUUGGCACCAAACUGUGAGGACUAUUAUCAACCACUUCGAAAGCAGAUUUUAUUCUUGGUUCCACCAUGUGACAGUAAAGAAGAUUAUAUUUAUUGAGAGCAUUCACCAUAUAAAGUCCCAAUUCUUUAGGACUAGAGUCUCCACAUUCUGAAUGUUCUGCAAAAGGUGAUAAUCUUAUUCCAACUUUAUCUGCCCCUAUUUCAUUCACAGCAGCUUCAACAACUUCCAAAACAAAUUGACAGCGGUUCUCAAUGGAUCCACCACAUUCAUCUGUUCUAUCAUUCACUUCAUCCUUCAUGAAUUGUUCAAUUAAGUAGCCAUGAGCCCCAAUUGUGCAGCCAAGUGCAGGUCUGCAAGUCAUAUGGUGCCUGAUGAAUUUCAGUUUAGUUCUUCAGCUUGUUAACCCCAAUCUUUCUUUUGCAGGGUGAUUUUCGGUUAUCCAGAAGAUAUUGUUGCAGGCCUGACGAAUGCAGUUUCGGUUUCGGUGCCGUUGCAUUCAUUUGUGUGGGGUUUGCAUUUGGCCUUACAAGGAACAACGGAUUGAACAGCCUCCUUACUCAGCCUCUCAACACCUAGCUUUCUUAGACUUUGCUCCAGGACUGCGGCACGGGUGUCUGUAUAGAUUCGAAAGAGCUGUUGUUGAUGGCCUGCUUGAACCAUUUGUUGUUCCUUCAACUGCUUGGCAACAUCCCUAGCAGAUGAACCAGAGACUUCAAUCCAAGUUUUGGAGAACAAGGCACAGGCUGACAGCAUAAACACCAGGUAGAACAGUGCAUGGAAAGGAUUGGCUGCCAUAUCAGCUAAGCUAGAGGGUGCAGUUAUAUAGUAUGCAAUGCCACCAACAGGAAUAGAGUGACCGCCUCCAUAUUCAGAUUCCUUCCAUUUUCCCAACAGAUCCACAAUGAAGUUUCCGGCAUACUUUCUGUGUAGCAGCUGGGAAAGGAAGUAGAGAUUGGAAACAAGGGCAGACUGAAGAAUAAUGGGCAUGUUGGAGGUGUAAAACAGUUUGAUUGGAUAUGAGCCCUGCUGUCCACGAGCAUUCUUCGACCUUACAGGCAAAACCACGCGGAAACCUUGGAAGUAUAUCACAAUUAGAAAGAUCAAAACAGGAGCCAGCAGAUUUGUGACAAUAUUUAGGCAUGGGAAGUUGCAUCUUGUUAUUUAUAUUUUCCUACUUGUAUUCAAACUUUAGGACAUGAUAUAUCUCUUGUAUACUUUUAUUUACAUGUCUUGAUUUUGGGAGAAAAUGACUGCAUUUCUUCUUUA